CAGCAGCCGCGGUAAUACGAAGGGUGCAAGCGUUAAUCGGAAUUACUGGGCGUAAAGCGUGCGUAGGCGGUUUGUUAAGUCUGCUGUGAAAUCCCCGGGCUCAACCUGGGAAUGGCAGUGGAUACUGGCAAGCUAGAGUGUGUCAGAGGAUGGUGGAAUUCCCGGUGUAGCGGUGAAAUGCGUAGAGAUCGGGAGGAACAUCAGUGGCGAAGGCGGCCAUCUGGGACAACACUGACGCUGAGGCACGAAAGCGUGGGGAGCGAACAGGAUUAGAUACCCCUGUAGUCCCUGUCUCUUAUAC
Molecule: ribosomal RNA, 301 nt
Filed under: uncultured bacterium
Lineage: Bacteria
Description: partial 16S ribosomal RNA
Rfam family: Bacterial small subunit ribosomal RNA
Source: RNAcentral